This 473-nucleotide ribosomal RNA is filed under the name uncultured organism. RNAcentral describes it as "partial 16S ribosomal RNA". It matches the Rfam family "Bacterial small subunit ribosomal RNA", at positions 335 to 799 of the family's 1533-position model. The record is from RNAcentral.
ACUCCUGCGGGAGGCAGCAGUGGGGAAUUUUGGACAAUGGGCGAAAGCCUGAUCCAGCAAUGCCGCGUGCAGGAUGAAGGCCUUCGGGUUGUAAACUGCUUUUGUACGGAACGAAAAAGCUCCUUCUAAUACAGGGGGCCCAUGACGGUACCGUAAGAAUAAGCACCGGCUAACUACGUGCCAGCAGCCGCGGUAAUACGUAGGGUGCGAGCGUUAAUCGGAAUUACUGGGCGUAAAGCGUGCGCAGGCGGUUAUGUAAGACAGAUGUGAAAUCCCCGGGCUCAACCUGGGAACUGCAUUUGUGACUGCAUGGCUAGAGUACGGUAGAGGGGGAUGGAAUUCCGCGUGUAGCAGUGAAAUGCGUAGAUAUGCGGAGGAACACCGAUGGCGAAGGCAAUCCCCUGGACCUGUACUGACGCUCAUGCACGAAAGCGUGGGGAGCAAACAGGAGUAGAAACCCUGGUAGUCCCAUG